RNAcentral lists this ribosomal RNA (164 nucleotides) under uncultured bacterium. Its description in RNAcentral is "partial 16S rRNA". It matches the Rfam family "Bacterial small subunit ribosomal RNA", at positions 355 to 511 of the family's 1533-position model. The record is from RNAcentral.
UGGGGAAUAUUGGACAAUGGGCGAAAGCCUGAUCCAGCCAUGCCGCGUGUGUGAAGAAGGUCUUCGGAUUGUAAAGCACUUUAAGUUGGGAGGAAGGGCAGUAAGCUAAUACCUUGCUGUUUUGACGUUACCGACAGAAUAAGCACCGGCUAACUCUGUACCAG